RNAcentral lists this long non-coding RNA (765 nucleotides) under Homo sapiens (human). RNAcentral's name for it is "HSALNT0077645". Lineage: Eukaryota; Metazoa; Chordata; Mammalia; Primates; Hominidae. The record is from RNAcentral.
AAACAAAAGCUGCUGGGAACACAGAUACAAAAGGAAAACUGAAGGCUAGGGGCAAGGAAAGAGGUAACAGAUUAACUGAAGCAUUAGAAUUGCUCUGCAGCUAUUCCAGAAAAAUUUACCUUCAUCUCCUUUGAGAGUCCCCUUACUCUACCUAGCAGCCUUCCUUGCUGUGAGAGGGUGAACAAUAUGAACAAAAAGAAGCAAGGAAAAGGGCUCUGUCGGAUUUGUUCACUCAGAACCAGUUGAUAGUCUGCCAAGAAAAGUUUCUCACCCUCAAGAGGUUCUGAGCUUAAAAGUCUCUUUGUGAACACGUGAGAAAGGAUCCUUCCCUGCUCAGGAAUCCUGCAUGUAUUUAUGUGUGUGUGCGUGGGCACGAAGGUUUGGAGGAAAGUGGACACUGGACUGAUACAGUACUAUUUUUUUGGAAGUGUUACAAACAUCUUCUCGCUUACAUUAAAAUUGUUGCUAUACCCUGAAUUACAAUAACCCUCUUGUUGAAACAUCACUCAUUUUUACUUGCAAUAAUCACACUUAGAAAUUACACGUAUUUCUCAGCCAAACAACGUAAUUUCCUGCUUUAACUGAGCAUCUUAGCCUUGCACCCAGUGACAAACCUCUCUACCUAUUUCACAUCCACCUCACAGAGUGGAAGGAAGGGAAUGAAAAUCUUAUUAUUUAUGGAUAUAGAAAUUGAGAACAAUACAAAGGGGCCAAUGAAUCAGAGGUGCCAUUCUGCCUUACAGUGGGGUCUUCUUUGCCAGGACC